UUUAAUGGAGAGUUUGAUCCUGGCUCAGGACGAACGCUGGCGGCGUGCCUAAUACAUGCAAGUCGAGCGGACCCUUCGGGGUUAGCGGCGGACGGGUGAGUAACACGUAGGCAACCUGCCUGUAAGACUGGGAUAACUACCGGAAACGGUAGCUAAGACCGGAUAAGUGAUUCUUUCGCAUGAGGGG
This 187-nucleotide ribosomal RNA is filed under the name Paenibacillus elgii. Its description in RNAcentral is "partial 16S ribosomal RNA". It matches the Rfam family "Bacterial small subunit ribosomal RNA", at positions 1 to 197 of the family's 1533-position model. Lineage: Bacteria; Bacillati; Bacillota; Bacilli; Caryophanales; Paenibacillaceae. The record is from RNAcentral.